RNAcentral lists this long non-coding RNA (1149 nucleotides) under Phasianus colchicus (ring-necked pheasant). RNAcentral's name for it is "lncRNA (ENSPCLG00000019719.1)". The record is from RNAcentral. Lineage: Eukaryota; Metazoa; Chordata; Aves; Galliformes; Phasianidae.
UCCCAGCUGGCGCAGGGAAGCUGCUCAGGUCGGGCUUGGACGCGCUGCGCCCUAAAGCUCCCUUCCAAGCCCUGCACUUCUGGCACUGCGGGACUCGGGCAGCAGCCAGGAGAGGCCGGCAGCACGCAGGCGUUCCGCGCUCAGGGAUCUGAUGGCGGAAAGCCGGCCUCCUGCUUUGCCGGCCCUGCCUUGUGCUGCUGCCUCUGCAGCGCCGCAGCGAGGGCCUGCAGCCCCACAACUGAGUCCUCCAGGGCCACGAGUGGGUCCUCCUGCCCCACAAGUGAGUCCUGCAGCCCCACAGCCAGUCCUCCAGCCCCACAGCGAGGGCCUGCAGCCCCACAAGUGAGUCCUCCAGCCCCACAGCCAGUCCUCCAGCCCCACAGACAGUCCUCCAGACCCACAGCCAGUCCUCCAGCCCCACAGACACUCCUCCAGACCCACACCGAGGGCCUGCAGCCCCACAAGCGAGUCCUGCAGCGCCACAGCCAGUCCUCCAGACCCACACCGAGGUCCUGCAGCCCCACAAGUGAGUCCUCCAGCCCCACAAGUGAGUCCUCCAGCCCCACAAGUGAGUCCUGCAGCGCCGCAGCGAGGGCCUGCAGCCCCACAACUGAGUCCUGCAGGGCCACCAGUGGGUCCUCCUGCCCCACAAGUGAGUCCUCCAGCCCCACAGCGAGGGCCUGCAGCCCCACAACUGAGUCCUGCAGCGCCACAGCGAGGGCCUGCAGCCCCACAAGUGAGUCCUCCAGGGCCACGAGUGGGUCCUCCUGCCCCACAAGUGAGUCCUGCAGCGCCACAGUGAGGGCCUGCAGCCCCACAAGUGAGUCCUCCAGCCCCACAAGUGAGUCCUGCAGCCCCUUAAAUCAGUCCUCCAGCCCCACACAUGAGUCCUCCAGCCCCACACAUGAGUCCUGCAGCCCCACAGCGAGGGCCUGCAGCCCCACAAGUGAGUCCUCCAGCCCCUUAAAUGAGUCCUCCAGCCCCUUAAAUGAGUCCUGCAGCGCCACAGCGAGGGCCUGCAGCCCCACAAGUGAGUCCUCCAGCCCCUUAAAUGAGUCCUCCAGCCCACAGCGAGGUCCUGCAGCCCCACAGCGAGGUCCUGCAGCCCCACAGCGAGGUCCUGCAGCCCCACAGCGAGGUCCUCCAGGG